CCUACGGGUGGCUGCAGUCGAGAAUCUUCGGCAAUGGGCGCAAGCCUGACCGAGCGACGCCGCGUGCGGGAUGAAGGUCUUCGGAUUGUAAACCGCUGUCGGGAGGGAUGAAGUGCGCGGAAGCUAUCUUCCGCGUUUGACAGAGCUCCAGAGGAAGCACGGGCUAAGUUCGUGCCAGCAGCCGCGGUAAUACGAACUGUGCGAACGUUAUUCGGAAUCACUGGGCUUAAAGGGUGCGUAGGCGGCUUGUUAAGUCAGGUGUGAAAGCCCCCGGCUCAACCGGGGAACAGCGCUUGAAACUAGCAGGCUGGAGUGAGGCAGGGGUGUGCGGAACUUCCAGUGGAGCGGUGAAAUGUGUAGAUAUUGGAAGGAACGCCGGCGGCGAAAGCGGCACACUGGGCCUUGUCUGACGCUGAGGCACGAAAGCCAGGGGAGUGAAC
RNAcentral lists this ribosomal RNA (440 nucleotides) under uncultured bacterium. RNAcentral describes it as "bacterial SSU rRNA". It matches the Rfam family "Bacterial small subunit ribosomal RNA", at positions 338 to 773 of the family's 1533-position model. The record is from RNAcentral.